RNAcentral lists this ribosomal RNA (429 nucleotides) under Chloroflexota bacterium. RNAcentral describes it as "Chloroflexi bacterium partial 16S ribosomal RNA". It matches the Rfam family "Bacterial small subunit ribosomal RNA", at positions 355 to 776 of the family's 1533-position model. Lineage: Bacteria; Bacillati; Chloroflexota. The record is from RNAcentral.
UGGGGAAUAUUGCACAAUGGGCGCAAGCCUGAUGCAGCCAUGCCGCGUGUAUGAAGAAGGCCUUCGGGUUGUAAAGUACUUUCAGCGGGGAGGAAGGGAGUAAAGUUAAUACCUUUGCUCAUUGACGUUACCCGCAGAAGAAGCACCGGCUAACUCCGUGCCAGCAGCCGCGUUAAUACGGAGGGUGCAAGCGUUAAUCGGAAUUACUGGGCGUAAAGCGCACGCAGGCGGUUUGUUAAGUCAGAUGUGAAAUCCCCGGGCUCAACCUGGGAACUGCAUCUGAUACUGGCAAGCUUGAGUCUCGUAGAGGGGGGUAGAAUUCCAGGUGGAGCGGUGAAAUGCGUAGAGAUCUGGAGGAAUACCGGUGGCGAAGGCGGCCCCCUGGACGAAGACUGACGCUCAGGUGCGAAAGCGUGGGGAGCAAACAGG